Cephus cinctus (wheat stem sawfly) is the source of this 5183-nucleotide long non-coding RNA. RefSeq lists it as uncharacterized. The record is from RefSeq and is a predicted model, not a curated record. The transcript is spliced from 3 exons. NCBI's taxonomy places the organism in Eukaryota, Metazoa, Arthropoda, Insecta, Hymenoptera, Cephidae.
UUUUUUCACCAAACUAAGCGAAUCAGUAACGACCUCGAUUCCCUACGUUGGCAUCAUCCGAUAUAAUUAAUGGGCUUCGACCCAAUCGGCGACCAUCGGGAGUCUCUAUAAAUACCGGUGUAAUUUAUCGGCGUUAUUUUUAUUGCGAGUGCGGCUGCACGGGGCCAAUUCAUUCCGUCCUGCGUGCUUUUUCGUGAGUUACGGAACGCGGGAAAUGGGGUCGGAUUCGAGUUAGGGACUUUUGGACGCUUCAGGCAGAUCGUCGGAGUCCAAGGAGCGUUGUAGGUGCGGCCAGUGGAUCGAGCGACGUCGCGACGCCGUGAAAUUGGACGCUGAUGGUGACGGUUUGGUUUACGUUCACGAGGCCGUAAAUAGCGAGAUCGAAAUUACGUCACUCAUCUGUACCUCCGUAACGUGACACUAGUCUGUCGCAUUGAACAGAGAUGAUCCAUCGGUAGAAAUUAAUUCUUAUCCCUUUGUUCUCUACAAUUAUUUCUUCCUUUAUGCAUGUGUCUCUUUGCUCUCUCUCUCUCUCUAUGUAUCUUCUGUCUCUCGCGAAAGAAUCUCGCUCCAAUGUCACGGCUUUGUCCCUGAACCAGAGAAACAAGCCGGACGAAUCGGCCAGGGCCUUUCUCCGAUUCCCGACCGAAGCCAACCAGCCGGAUAAAGAUUAUCUGAAGAAAGAAUGAGGAGGAGAGAGUGACGUGGAAUAAAAAAAGAAAUAACAAAAUCAACUAAGGAAGUAACAACAACGAGACUAUGAAAAACAUUAAAAAUCGCCUACAAUACAUAAAUACUCAUCAUGCGUCUUGUAAAAAUAUCGUUAACGAUCCCCAAAUCGAUAAAGCUAUUGUAUUUAUGCCGUAAGAACUUUUAUUUCUGUCCUUACUUCCGUAAGUGCCGAAAUAGACGUACCUGGCACACUGACGUAACUCAGUUACACAAGAUUUUCUAGGCGUCUUCGCGAAGGCGCCACUUAUUUGUUUCCUAUUUACAAUGUAAUUCCGCAUCGGCGCCACCGGUCACUCUCUCUUUCUCUCUCGCUCUCUGCCACCAAGCCUACCUCCAAGAGACCCUCUCACGGUACCCCAGUGACAUCGUACUAGACGAAUUAAGAUAUUGUCGACCAAUAUAUAUCUAGUUUGUGCUGGAUUUGUAAAUGGCCGGCCAUAAGUGUGCCGUUUCUAACGUGCCCCGACUGACGCGUAUAACGUAAGUCAGGGUUAAAGCUGGGCACCGUGAAAGCUUCUAAAAAUAGAGUUGGACCUCUCUAAAAAUAGCCCUUCUACGUGCACUCACGACUUCAACCAGGAGAAGGGCGACGGUAAGGAGCAAGGUAUACGAGGUACGCAUUCCAAUGGGCGGGUUAUCAGAGAUGGAUCCAUCCCACCUUCCAUGCUGGAAUGCAUCUCCAACGGCUUAAGACCAUUCCCGUGCCCUCGUAUGCGGCCGCGUACGUAUCUCCCGGAGUCUAAUAAGACGAUCACGUGGGCCGGCACUGUACACAGGGUGUCCGGAAUUAAGGCUCUAUUAUACGCCUUGGUGACAGACACCCCUUUUUCAGGUGUCCAGCAGGUAAUUCGACUCUAGAAUUCUUAAAUUGCAGUAUAUCCAACCCUAUGAAAUUUAAAAAAACAUCCCUAACAAUACAAAACUUCGACGUUGAAUAGUGCAUAAUUAUUUAACAACUUUUUUUUCAUAUUUUAGGUUAGGUCAUAUAAUACCUUACACUCCGGUAUUAUGUAUAUAGUAAAGAAGGGCUGUAUAUAUUUUUAUUAGACACCCUGUAGCACUUUAGUUCUUUAUACACACGUAUGGAGAAAGCGACCUAUAAUGACGUAACCUCUGAAUAUGAAUCGAAAUUCCUUGACUGUAUACAGUUGAUUUCCGAUAGUUCUUUACACAUAUAUCUUGUGUAUCGUUAAACCCGUAUAAUGUGGACCAUACGUAGAUCCAAGGGCGUUAGACCUUGGAUUGUAAUCUAAGAAACGUAUAUUCUUGUUCCUUUAACGAUUACACCAUCGUCUUAUCGAACAAGCGUGCUCGUCAGUCUAUGAAUAGUCCAAGAAAAUUUCCCAAGAUCAAGUGGAUCUCAAUUUCAUCAGGAGCCACAUAAGUCAUUUCAAGAAGUUCUAUUCCCUAAUAAGUUACUCGGUCUGCAUCAUACGAUGAGAAUGGAUACGACGAUCAUUUGAAUAUUGCCUUAAGCCUUUCUUUUGGAGAACUUUGACCCCUGACCAAGGUGCGUGUUGAAUAUUUGGUACCAGAACCCACAAGGAUAUCGAUGUACGUCUGAUUUUCAUCUCUUAGGCAUAUACUGUAAUUAUUGCAAAUUGAAUACAUUCACUGACCAAACGUUACACAGUCCUGAGGAACGAGUCAUAAGUUUGUCACAAUCAUCCUUUGUGUGAGUUCAGGAGGUUCUCUUCUUCUUCUGAGAAAGUAUCGUCAUCGUUAUUUGGAAAUGAGUCGGGUUGAUCGUCAGGAAGCGAAGGUUAACGAAUCUCCAAGAGGAAAUAAUUCUCGGAUUGUAUGAGUCGCUGCCAGGAAAACGGUUACGAGGUGGCUGAAGUGACGCCGCACGUGACGAAGAGGAUGACCGAUCCUUCUUGCCGAAAGUAGUCGAUUGGAUGAAGAAUUUGAAUUUUAAAAAAAUGUAAAAAACGAAAGAACCGGUCAUUGAAUUUUGAUGAGGUAAGAUCAGUCAUGAGACAAAGUUCAAAGUUCAUCCUGACUAUCGAUACGCUACUAAUUUCUUAACAGGGUCCAAGUGUGUUGAUACGCUAUUGUAAACACAAACCGAGUCAUCUUCUUGGUAUACCAGAGGCUGGCUAGCCUACGAUAGUCUUCUCGUUGAUGAUUCAUCGGCUAUCGGGGGACUCUGCGACGGAGACGUUCAGCUACCUAAAGCUUCGCCACGGUUGACGGCCUCUUCGAUUUGCCCGGAGCGAUCGGUGAUCUCAUCGUUAUCACACUGGGAUUCGGCAUUCCACAAGCAAUACGAUAUCUGAUUGAUGUACGAAGGCUGUUUCGUAUUGAAGAACAGGAUGAGUGCGGGCCCGUGACUUUGGGAUCGUCAAGUUGAAGAUCAAGAACUUCAUUCGCAUAGAUAAUCACAGGUCUGACGUUGAUUCGGCAUACCUGGACCAGUCUGAAAUUCUUUUAGUCUCGGACACCAAGCAUAGUUGAACAGACUGGAAAUCUGAUUCCCUGGGUACAUCCGGACUUCCGGUUUGGUUUAAUUCCUAUGAGAAAUCAUGGCGAUCCUUUCACUCGUACAGUUCAUACCUUACUACGUAUAUUGAUCGUCCCUGAACUUCGGUAUCUUUAUUAGAUUUAUCUUCUCAAGGAUGCUGUCUUACUGGACCGUGCAGAAUCUUUCUCGCAAGAGCUACUCCCAUUCAUAUGUACCUUCUAGCGAACAAAACAGAUACGACUAAGACGCGCGGUACUUGGGUAUUGUUGUGCAGCUACGCGUCGUUGCUUAUGUGUAUAGAUAUAGUGUAUUCUGCAAAACACGGCACAUAAAGAAAAGGUGUCGCGUUACUCAACACAUCGUCACCCGUUAUAUCUAAAUUCACCGAGUAACUGUCUAGACGAUAUACGCACGUACGAAUGAUAUAUCUAGAUAUAUAGAUAUACAUAUAAAUAUAAUUUGGCAUAACUCCAAGAUCAUGGUUUGGCGGUUUUCGCACGUUUUUUUAAAAAAAAAAUUGACUCUUAUUCAUCUAAUCACGUGUCAUUUAUCCAUAUUGAUCUCGACAGAGUCGAGCGAAAUGUCAGCGAUGGAAUGUAUAUAUACAUUGUUCACUCCAUUACAAUAAUCGUUUGUAUACAUAAGACCAUUGGGAUUCUCUUGAUGUUUCUUUAAUUCUCUUUUUUCUUUCUCUUAGCUCCGCGCAUGCGCAACCCGGAGAAUUAUUUGACGAGAGAAAGAGCGAAAGCUCCCGUUGGCCCCUGGCAAAAAGUCCCAGCAAAGAUGGCGACGAAAUAAAGACGAUAUUUUUAUAUCCGCGAGAGUAAGCUUUGCCGGCCGCCACCAGGCCUCGGUCUCUAUUAAUAUCCGCGGGCCGGGCUUCCUUUCGGCCUCCGCUCUCUGCUGCUCUCAUCCGCAGCCUCGCUCGCGCACAGCAAGACUUUUCAGAGUGGAGUAAGGCAAACCGCGCUACGAAAGCUAGAAGGAAGAAGGAUACUGUUGAAGUAUUAAAAAAAAAAAAACUUGAGAAAUAAAAAUCCAUAAAAAAAUAAAGUUUAACGAAAUUUCAAAAUAUUCGGUUGAUGACAGCAGAAUAAUAAAAAAAAAAUUUCUCAAAGUAAAAAUCGAAGAAAACCCAUCGUCUUGUACGCAUAAGAAUUUAUUGCAUACGGGGCAGCAAUAGGAAGCAAAUGUUCCUGGUUACGCCAUUGGCAAGAUAUGCUGGUCCUUCUCUUGCUAGAGUGUAUUCGUACCGUGUGCACUGGUGGGCUCACGUAAUCCCUGGAUCCACCUAUACCGAAGUUCGCGAGAUGCCCGUUCUGAACGUUCGCCAAAACACCCACGCAUUUUCCUUCGUUUGUAACGACAGAAACGAGAACCCAUAGGCAAGGCUAUUCGAUGAUACUUAGGUGGUAGCUGUGUUAUCAAUGUCCCACCCGGUAUAUGACGUAAGACAGGACGUAAGUAUUGGCCCGCCGUUGGCCUCUCGCUUGCGGCCUAUCGCUUUGAAUUUUCGUGCCGGUAAACAAAUCUCUGGAAUUGGAUCGACGAGUGGUUACGUCAUUUCUGCACCAGUGUCAAAAUAACAGGGGAGACUUUCUUGAGAUUUCUCGGGGAAGUAAAUAGUUUCAAAUGUUAUUUUUCAAUUUCUCUUUUUUUCUUCUCACCGUCCUCGCGGUACCGGAUAUGCUGUUUUGUAUUUGCGGACACUGCGAUCUACGCUAUUUCGCAUUCUCGAUGCAAUUGUAUAGGGGAAAUAGAAUUCAUGACGUCCUGGUAUUCACUUUGAGUGAUUUCCAGCAAAUGAAUUUUCUAGUUCGCCUCGGUACAAACUUGUCAGCGAUUAAUCAGACUUGACUUUGCUAUAUUAACUCGCCGUUUUACCUACAGGAAUUCGUACUUCUUAGAAAUCAAACUGAUCACUCUAUACAGUUCCUUCGGGUGCUUAUAAUACACGUACUUCUUUUUUUUUCUUUUCUCUUGUCUU